Molecule: long non-coding RNA, 2176 nt
Filed under: Cyanistes caeruleus (blue tit)
Lineage: Eukaryota; Metazoa; Chordata; Aves; Passeriformes; Paridae
Description: lncRNA (ENSCCEG00000002690.1)
Source: RNAcentral
AAAGAACAUUAACUGAGUAGAUUUGGUUUUGCUUGUUCCUCUAAAUCUGUUUUUGCUGGGAAACCUCUUAAUGCAUCAUUGGAUCUCACCUCUGAUUCAUCCUUUCCAAACUGACCUCAGAGGAACCAGGGACUGAGACACAGCUCAGGAACUGUAACCCUGUCCUGAAACUAACAAUUAUAAUUUGCUUCCCACAAAACUGGAAAAACAGAACCUCAGCUUUCUUUCAUAUUGCCUUGGCUGCCUUCCCUUCAAUGGGGUACAUCUUCUCCAGGUUUUGUUGUGGGAACUGACAAGGCAAAGCUCGCAGCUGGGAAUAUAUUGGCUUCCAUGUUGAUAUUACAGAACUUAAGAAAAAGGUUAAGGAAUGAAACUAGUAUUUUAAUUCACAGAGAAAGUGUGUUCCAAAGUCCUCUGAAAUCAGUGGACUGAAUCCCACCAACGUCACCAAGUACUGGCUUAAGGCCUUAGUAAAUACAAUAUUUAUAAAGGAAUCAUUGUACGUUGAUGGUGAAAAAUAAAAGAUGUCUCAAUAAUUCAGAAACCACAAUUGAGGAAGGAGUAGAGGCAAAGACUGAGGCAAUGAUUGCUAGAGGUGAAGACUGAAAACACAUGGAUGUUAUACCAAAGUAGGUGUGGAAAGGAAUUUUAAAGAUAUAAAAGUUAGAUUGAAAUUGGUCUGGGAUCACCUUCUGUUCAAGUGUGGUAUUGUACUCUGAUGUGCUUCUUAUUCCUUGAAACACAAUAAUUUCAAGGAAUACACAAUAGUUUCAAAUUUGCCUUUGCAAAUUUCUUUAUCCUUAGCUGAUAUUGACGACAUAUUUUCUUUACUGCAGCUGCACUGUGCACCCUGCUAAAUUAACACUUUGGUUCACAGAAUCUGCUCAAGAAGAAUUCUCCCAGUCUUUUCAGUCCUUCAGUUUGUAGGCAUGAACACAUCCAAACACACUGACACCACAGCCCUUGUGCAGAGAAGCAACAAUGAGCUUCUUUUCAGUAGGAAAAUGUCAGCAGACUGCAGCGUACCGCGAGUUUCCAGCAGGGAGCAGCAUUUAUUCAUUUGUGAAGGAGAAGCUCCAGCCUCAAAAGGACCAGACACCCGAAGCUGAAAUACAAACUCAGAAACACUUGCUUAAGAAGCAAUGUUUGCAGAUGGAUGGACAGCUAGCAGUGUGAGGGGUGAAGCAGCAAGGGCAGGUUAAACACUUGGCACAAGGCCUCACCCAUCCUCUUCAUCUGCCUGAUGCCUCUGCAAGCAUGGCUUGGUAUUUAGGACUAGGGAAGUUGGAGGCUCAGAGGCAGUGCCAGCAGAUGAGCUGGAUCAAAAUAUUCCCAUUUAAGGAAAAAUUUUCAUCAAAAAUUUCAGUGUUAUCCCUGGCUCGGAAUUAUUACUUAAGGUACUGGAAACUCGGAUUAAGGUCUCGCUAAUAAUGCUUGCAUAAUAUUAUCACAAUCCGAAGAAUAUCGCAUAUUGUUUUAUAUAUAGCAUAUAGGCUACUGUCUGUUUUGAAAGCUUUCAGUUUUAAAAUUUCUCUUCUAAAGAUGUUUCUUAUCAUGAUAUGUUAACAAUUUCAAAUCCACAGUCUCAGAAUGUCACAGCUUUGAAAUCAGCCUCCACAGAGAUAGUCAAGCUGUGAACAAGUACAAAAGAGAAUAUUUUAGUACUUAAAACCUAGUAAAAAAUCCUGUUCACUGCUUAAGCGAAUUUCUAUUAAAAAUAACUUUAUAAAAACCAUAUACCUCACUGACAGCAUUUGUGUUAUUUCUGGAAUUCUUCCUGCCUAUCCUUAAGUACCAGCUCUGCACAGCAGCCUCCUGCUGCUGUUCCCUGAGAUCAGCUGUGUCCCAGUGGUGCAGUCUCAGAGUGGGUGAAUCAGUCCAUGCAGAGUUAGGUAACUACUGCAGUCUGUAGCCAAUACCCAAAUUGGCUUUAAACCUCAGGCUAGAUUACAAGAGAGCUAGAACACCAUGUACUUGUGUGAUCCUCUUCAGGAUCCUGGGACUCUCAGGGUGUGCCACUGGCACCUCAGGCUUUCAGUCCCUGAGUUAAGAUGACAGCAAGUUUCAUCCUACCUCUAGCUAAAAUAUUAUAUAGCUUUCUACUACCUUGGUCUUCUCUGCAGUCAGAAUUCACAUAGUCACAAAUUAAUUUAAAUUAAAUUUUAUAGAUACACUC